Molecule: long non-coding RNA, 2263 nt
Organism: Syzygium oleosum
Lineage: Eukaryota; Viridiplantae; Streptophyta; Magnoliopsida; Myrtales; Myrtaceae
Exons: 2
Source: RefSeq, a predicted model, not a curated record
CGCUUUUUCCUGUUGAAGCUAGCUUCUGGAAUCGCUUCUUCAUAACCAAGAUUUUUAGUUUUAUGAAGCAAGAGCUGAUCUUUUUGCCAUUGAAGCUCGCUACCAUUUUCGCACUCUCGCUCUCUCUGUGCAUUCCAAGCCACCAAACGAUCAAGACUAUUGAGGUUCUAAGUGUCAUAAAUAGAAGGAUUACAAGAUGUCCGAAACGAGUUCUACUAGUGUCACAGAAAGAAGGACAAGAUCUGUAGUGUGGGAACACUUUAAACGGAUUCCUGAUCAAGAUAAGGCUGAAUGUUUAUAUUGUGGGGCCCAAAUUCGUCGUGCUAGUAAUCAUGGGACUAGUUCGAUGCAUCAUUAUUUAGGUAGAUGUAAGGAAUACGCAUAUGCAAACGUUGAGAAAAGGCAAAAAAGUGCCUUGGAUCAACUUCUUGGGGUCGGUAGUUCAUCGGGUCCAUGAAAAUUUGAUCAAGAUGCUAGUCGAAAAGACCUAGCAAAAAUGUUUAUUAUUGGUGAAUUGCCUUUUAAGUUCGUAGAAAAUGAGGGAUUUCGGCUAUUCGUGAAUAGAAUCCAGCCAAAGUUUCUAAUCCCGUGUCAGAACACAUUGAGGCAUGAUUGUUACAAGUUAUACAUGGGGGAAAGAAGUAAAUUGAAGAAAUAUUUCUCGGAGACAUCUCCAAGAGUGUGUCUUACGACCGACACAUGGACUUCUUGUCAAAAUUUGAGCUAUAUAUGUCUUACUGCUCAUUUUGUUGAUGCCGAUUGGAAGUUGCACAAGAAAAUAUUGAAUUUUUGUCAAAUUCCGGGUCAUGCUGCUAAGAUAAUAGGAAAAGCAGUUGAGAAAUGCUUGACUGAUUGGGGGAUUCAAAGCGUUUUUUCUAUUACUAUGGAUAAUGCAAGCUCAAAUGACUUAGGAAUUCAAUAUUUGAAAAAAAGACUUAACUCUCGGAAUCCUCUAGUAUUGAGAGGUGAGUUACUCCACGUAAGGUGUUGUGCUCAUAUAUUGAGUUUGAUUGUGAGAGAGUGGUUGAAAGAUGUAAAUGAUUCAAUUGUUAGAAUACGUUAGGCUAUGCGUUAUGUGAGGUCUUCUCCUGCGAGGUUGAGACGGUUUAAGAGUUGUAUUGAUAUCGAGUCUAAGAGUCUUGUAUGUUUGGAUGUGGAGACUCAUUGGAACUCGACAUACAUGAUGUUGGAAGCAGCUUUGAAGUUUCAAACAGCUUUUAGCUUGUUGGAAUUUCAAGAUAGCAAAUAUAUUGAAGAGCUUUCCAAGGCGAAAAGGGUUGCCCACUAGUGAUGAUUGGGAGUAUGCCCAUCACUUUCUUCCUUUCCUAAAAUUGUUCUUUGAUACGACUUAAAAAGUUUCGGGUUUUUCUUAUGUCACUAGUAAUGAUAUGGCGAAGGAUGUGUAUGGGAUUCAUGGAAUCAUUGAUGCAUAUUGUGAGAAUGAGGAUCAAAGUGUGCAGGAAAUGGCUAAGAGAAUGAAAACCAAAUUCAAUAAAUAUUUUGGCAAUGUGAACAACAUCAAUCUUACUUUGUUCAUUGCUUGCAUACUUAACCCGUGACAUAAGUGGGAAUAUGUGAAGUGGAUGAUUAAUAAUGUUUAUGAAAGCAAGGAGGCGGAAACUUUACGAGAUAAAGUAAAAACAUCUAUGACGUUAUUGUGCGAGCAAUAUCGCACUGGUGUAUGCCCUCAAAGCAACUUGAGGCUAAAGAGCACUAGGACGAUAAGCAUGUCAAAGUCUCCAGUGGUUGGUGCUUAUUUUAUGGCUGCAAAGUAUCUUAGCCAAACUGGACAACAAUAUUUGGAAGGAAGGAUGUGAAUGUUAUAACCCAAACUUUAAUAUCUUAAGUUGGUGGAAAGUAAAUUCUUCAAUAUAUCCUAUCCUUUCUUCCAUUGCUCGAGACAUAUUGGCCGCCCGUCUCAACUGUAGCAUCAGAGGCCGCAUUUAGCACAGGAGGUCGUGUGCUUGAUGUGUUUCGUAGCUCUUUGACCCCAAGCAUGGUGGAGGCUCUUAUAUGUGCUCAAGAUUGGUUACGAUCUACGCCACUUUCACGUUCGAUUGAGGAGGACUUGGAAGAACUCGAAAUCUUAGAGUCAGGUGAAAAAAUAUGGUUGUGGAAUUUUGUACCCUUUUAUACUUCGAUGGAUACAUUAAUUCUCAUUUUCAUCGUGAAUUUAAUGCAGAGUUACCAACUACAACCAUGGAGCUAAACUCAAUUUCUCUAGAUGAUUGAUGAAGUUGGAGAUUGGUACUUGUUAAACCAA